AAGAAAUGCAAGUCGAGCGUCCCGAUGGGGCUUGCCCUGUCGGGAUAGCGGCGAACGGUCGCGUAACACGUAAGCAACUGCCCCAGAGUGGGGGAUAGCCCGCCGAAAGGCGGAUUAAUACCGCAUGUGGACAGCUGACGCAUGUCUGGUUGUCUAAAGCAGCAAUGCGCUCUGGGAUGGGCUUGCGGCCUAUCACUAGUUGGUGCGGGUAACGGCCCACCAAGGCGACGACGGGUAGCUGGUCUGAGAGGAUGUCAGCCGGACUGGGACUGAGACACGGCCCAGACUCCUACGGGAGGCAGCAAUUAGGAAUUUGCGCAAUGGGCGAAAGCCUGACGCAGCGACGCCGCGUGACCGAUGAAGUCCUUCGGGUGUAAAGGUCUUUUGUGGGGGAAGAAGGAUGUGACGGUACCCCACGAAUAAGCCCCGGCAACUACGUGCCAGCAGCCGCUGUAAUACGUAGGGGGCGAGCGUUGUCCGAAUUCACUGGCGUAAAGCGCGCGUAGGCGGGUUCUUAAGUUGGGGGUGAAAUCCCGGAGCUCAACUCCGAACUGCCUCCAAAACUGGGAGCCUAGAGGUAUGGAGAGGGAAGUGGAAUUCCUGGUGUACGGUGAAAUGCGUAGAUAUCAGGAGGAACACCCGUGGCGAAGGCGGCUUCCUGGCCAUGCCUGACGCUGAGGCGCGAAAGCUAGGGGAGCGAACGGGAUUAGAUACCCCGGUAGUCCUGCCGUAAACGAUGGAUACUAGGUGUUAGUGGUAUCGACCCCACUAGUGCCGUAGCUAACCAUUAAGUAUCCCGCCUGGGGAGUACGGCCGCAAGGUUGAAACUCAAAUGAAUUGACGGG
Molecule: ribosomal RNA, 845 nt
Filed under: uncultured Armatimonadota bacterium
Lineage: Bacteria; Bacillati; Armatimonadota
Description: bacterial SSU rRNA
Rfam family: Bacterial small subunit ribosomal RNA
Source: RNAcentral